Leucoraja erinaceus (little skate) is the source of this 79-nucleotide long non-coding RNA. RefSeq lists it as uncharacterized. The record is from RefSeq and is a predicted model, not a curated record. NCBI's taxonomy places the organism in Eukaryota, Metazoa, Chordata, Chondrichthyes, Rajiformes, Rajidae. The transcript is spliced from 2 exons.
GGUGGACCACGUGAAGGUUGCAAUCUCCCACCCCAGGGUCUCCAAUGAGGUAGAUAGUAGUUCAGCACUGCUCUCUAGU